GGGGGAAGGUGAGGAGGAAGGGGAAGAAGAGGAAGAACAGCAAAAACAGACAAGGCUAAGAGGAGAAAGGAAAGACAUGAAAGGUAAUGAUGAGGAAACUGAUGAUGAAGAAGAAAGGGAAGAAGAGAAUAAGGAAAGGGGAAACGAGAACCAGGAGGAGGAGGAGGCAGAAGAAGAGGGAAUUGAGGAAGAGGAAGAAGGAGAUGAAAAUGAAGAAGAGGAGGGGGAGGAUGAGGAAGAAGAAGAGGAAGAGGAGGAACAAGCAAAAUCAGCAAAGAAAAUAAAAGAGAAGCGACAGAAGCCGCCACCAGACAGAAGCGACAAACAGAAAGAAGCACCCAAACCAGCACCGAGGACCAGGCAGCGAGCUGCAGGGGAGGCGAAAGCUGAGGAGUCUCAGCAGUUCUGGAACGAUGUCCUGCCUCAAUACCUAGACCUGCAAUGACCACGCCCACAGUGAAGCCACACCCACAAAAAUCUCAGCUAAACACGAGCUUCGUCUCACGUUAUUCUUUAUGCUCUGAAAACACAUAACAAGUGUGUCUAAGCACUUUUUUAAAACCCUUACACUGUCCAAGGCAGUCAAGCCAUUUAUACUGCAAUGUAAGUUUUGUCAAGAACUAUUUUCACGUGCGUAUUGAUACACAUGUGGGGCACUUAGCAACACUAAAGUGGUGUAUUUGGGACUACUAGCUUGAGGGCACUGAUGCCAAAAUGUGAACACAUAGACUUCAAUUCAAUUCAAUUCAAUUCAAUUUUAUUUAUAUAGCGUCAAAUCGCAACAACAGUCGCCUCAAGGCGCUUUAUAUUGCACAGUAGAUCGUACAAUAAUAGAUACAGAGAAAAACCCAACAAUCAUAUGACCCCCUAUGAACAAGCACUUUGGCGACAGUGGGAAGGAAAAACUCCCUUUUAACAGGAAGGAACCUUCGGCAGAACCAGGCUCAGGGAGGGGCGGGGCCAUCUGCUGCGACCAGUUGGGGUGAGAGAAGGAAGACGGGAUAAAGGACAUGUUGUGGAAGAGAGACAGCGGUUAAUAACAGAACAAACACCACAGCUGAGUCACCUCUUCCCCCUCCACAGGUCAUCCCAGCAUUUGUUAAAUAAAG
Long non-coding RNA from Oreochromis aureus, 1109 nucleotides. NCBI's taxonomy places the organism in Eukaryota, Metazoa, Chordata, Actinopteri, Cichliformes, Cichlidae. The record is from Ensembl.